ACAUGUGUGCCUCACUAAAAACUCUAUCCCAAAAUCCAAUGAAAAAAUAGGCAUGGAGAAAAGAGCAUGCACACUACUCUAGUCUAUACAUGUGCUAACUCUUGAAGCUUAUAACUCCAAGUGCCUUGAUGUAUUUCCUCAAUAUCUUUGUCUUCAGGUUUUGGUUCCUUUGGAAGCUUCUAUGAUAUGUUUUGUUGGCUUCACUCACUGUCCAAGUCUUCACGUCCAAGACCUUGUUAGAGCAUAGGUCUUCAUCUUUAGGACCUUCUGAGCGUGCAACACUACUAAACAAACUUAACUGAGGCAGACCUUUUGGAUUAACCGAGGCAGGUUUUGCAACCGCCUCGGACAGAAGGUCAUGGUUAAUCGUGGCUUAACUGAGGUGGUUGUCCUAACUGCCUCGAUUAAUCGAUUAACUGUGGCGGGCGACAUAAGACAAUCGCCUUAGUUAAUACAUAUUAACCAAGGUGGUUGGAUAAACACGCCCGCCUCAGUUAAACUUUUAAUUGAGAUAGUUGUAAUAAUGUACUCGCCUUGUUUAAUGUUUUCUAGAUUAAAAAAAAUGUUUUUUAAAUUUGAAUCUAAAUCUGAAUUUCACAAAUGAAAAUACACGUAAAGCAGAUAUUAGAUGACAAACAUAUAUUACAUUCAUUGUUCAAUGAACCAACAUUAAGUUAUUACAUUAGUGAUGUCUUCACAUCAUUGUCUCACUAGCACUUCAUUACAUGAAAAUCUUCAUCUCUAGGACCUUCUUGCAUGAGUACUCUCUUCAGGAACAGGUGUAGUCAUCAUAGUUGAAGUAGUAGUAGUCAUGGUCAAAAGGUUGCCAUAAAGCCUGUAGAUCUGCCCUCAUGAGCGCCUAGUAAAAGGCUUCAUCCCCCGAUUGGGUGGUCCUCAUAUAGCUCCUCAUGGCUGACACUCGUGAUCGUACCCUCUGCUGCGCUUGGUGUAGUUAAUGUAUAGUCAUAGUAGUAGAAGUAGAUGUCAAGACCGAAGUUGUCAGUGAACCCCUUGAGUCAAAGUGGUUGACAAUGGUGUAGUAGACCUCGGUGCUGAAGGAGUUAACUAGCCCCUCAAGCUCUGUGAUGGAGGCAAGUCAUUGUAGUGACCCUUGAAGCUGUUGACAAAGGCUCUCGAGACGCUAUACUGGUCGAAAGUCAACACCGUUAAAUCACAAACGUUCAUUGAAAAUAAAAUGGCCGAUCAAUUUCCGACCAUCAUUUCUUUCUCUUUUUUGGAUAGCACAUGCAUUCCUUUCUCUUUUUGGACAACGCAGAUAUUUCUUAUUUUUGAGUCAUUCACUUCACUUUCUCUUUUGGGACAUUUCAUUCUCCUUUCACUUAUCUUGCUACAUCACACGCGCUGCAGUAUUUUUUUUUCUUUUUUUUAAAGAACCAUGCGCACAUAAAUUAGAAAACUGAAUUAGAAAGCAAAACUUCCACAAAUAACUUAAAAGUGGUAACUUAGUAGUUCUUUGAAAUUCUAUUUUAGAUUUCAUCAUCCUUAACUUAGAUAACUGAAUUAGAUAAUGUAAUUUCAACAAAUAACUUAACAUUGCUAACUUAUUAGUCCCACACAUUCUCUUUUAGGGUUCAAGUAUUUUUUUUUUCUCUUUUCCAAAAAUUAAUUAUUCAGGACAUGAGAAGAGGGUUUAUAAAGGGUGGGGGAUGAAAUAAAAAUAACUUUUACAACUUACACUACAGAGUAAAUUCAAUAAUAUGAUGAUGAAACCUUGCAAAACCAAGAUAAAUAAUAGCUUUUAUAACUUCUGCAACGAUAAUCUCAACAUCUCUGUAACUAUGACAUUAAGCAUAUCUAUUUCUUCAAUUGAAAGAUCUGCAAAAUAUUUAUAUUGUAAUAUUUAAAAAUAAUAAAUAUGAAACAUAAGUUAGAUGCACUACUGUUAAUAGUAAAUUAGAUGUAUAAGUUAUAUUUAAACUUAUAAGUUAUACAACUUGACAAAUGACUUAGAUGUAAAGCUAAGUUAUAUUCAAAACUUAAAAACAGAAAUUAGUAUCACAACAUAUUAGUAAAAAUAUGCUAUAAGUUAUUCUUAUAAGUUAUAACCUAUAAAUUAUAAAUGAUACCAUAAUACACAUAAAAUACUAAUAAAAUACUUUUUUUGAAAUAUAUGCAAAUGGAGUCUAGUUUUGUUCAUAUCUUAUCACACAAAACACAACGGUACAGAUGGAAAGAAAAAU
RNAcentral lists this long non-coding RNA (2201 nucleotides) under Sorghum bicolor (sorghum). RNAcentral's name for it is "long non-coding RNA (SBIC_LNC013279)". Lineage: Eukaryota; Viridiplantae; Streptophyta; Magnoliopsida; Poales; Poaceae. The record is from RNAcentral.